Molecule: signal recognition particle RNA, 311 nt
Filed under: Vombatus ursinus (common wombat)
Lineage: Eukaryota; Metazoa; Chordata; Mammalia; Diprotodontia; Vombatidae
Description: Metazoan signal recognition particle RNA (ENSVURG00010022894.1)
Rfam family: Metazoan signal recognition particle RNA
About the family: The signal recognition particle (SRP) is a universally conserved ribonucleoprotein. It is involved in the co-translational targeting of proteins to membranes. The eukaryotic SRP consists of a 300-nucleotide 7S RNA and six proteins: SRPs 72, 68, 54, 19, 14, and 9.
Source: Rfam by way of RNAcentral
UCUGGGAGUGUAGGUCAACUCCUGUGAUCCUUGCUAUUGGGGAGUUUGAGACUGGAGGAUUGCUUGAGCUCAGGAUUUCUGAGCUGCAAUAGGGCUAAAGAUGAUUGGGUGUCUAUACUGAGUUUGGUACCAAUGUGGUGAGUCCCCUGGGAAUAAGUCGCUUAAGGUGAGGCAAACUGACCCAUGUUGGAAACCAAGCAGGUCAAAGCUUCCAUGCUUCUCAGCAGUGGAAUUGGGCCCCUUUAGGGCCUGAUGUACUUUAGGGGCUGAUGUACUUCCAGCCUCAGAGACUUAGAGAGACCUAGACUCAA